GACGAACGCUGGCGGCGUGCCUAAUACAUGCAAGUCGAGCGGACAGAUGGGAGCUUGCUCCCUGAUGUUAGCGGCGGACGGGUGAGUAACACGUGGGUAACCUGCCUGUAAGACUGGGAUAACUCCGGGAAACCGGGGCUAAUACCGGAUGGUUGUUUGAACCGCAUGGUUCAAACAUAAAAGGUGGCUUCGGCUACCACUUACAGAUGGACCCGCGGCGCAUUAGCUAGUUGGUGAGGUAACGGCUCACCAAGGCGACGAUGCGUAGCCGACCUGAGAGGGUGAUCGGCCACACUGGGACUGAGACACGGCCCAGACUCCUACGGGAGGCAGCAGUAGGGAAUCUUCCGCAAUGGACGAAAGUCUGACGGAGCAACGCCGCGUGAGUGAUGAAGGUUUUCGGAUCGUAAAGCUCUGUUGUUAGGGAAGAACAAGUACCGUUCGAAUAGGGCGG
Molecule: ribosomal RNA, 454 nt
Filed under: Bacillus sp. R-30614
Lineage: Bacteria; Bacillati; Bacillota; Bacilli; Caryophanales; Bacillaceae
Description: bacterial SSU rRNA
Rfam family: Bacterial small subunit ribosomal RNA
Source: RNAcentral